CCUACGGGAGGCAGCAGUAGGGAAUAUUGGGCAAUGGAGGCAACUCUGACCCAGCCAUGCCGCGUGCAGGAAGAAGGCGUUAUGCGUUGUAAACUGCUUUUAUAUAGGAAGAAAUAGACCUUGCGAGGUAAGUUGACGGUACUAUAUGAAUAAGCACCGGCUAACUCCGUGCCAGCAGCCGCGGUAAUACGGAGGGUGCAAGCGUUGUCCGGAUUUAUUGGGUUUAAAGGGUGCGUAGGCGGUUUAUUAAGUCAGUGGUGAAAGACGGUCGCUCAACGAUUGCAGUGCCAUUGAUACUGGUAGACUUGAGUGGGAUUGAGGUAGCUGGAAUGGAUAGUGUAGCGGUGAAAUGCAUAGAUAUUAUCCAGAACACCAAUUGCGUAGGCAAGUUACUAAGUCUCAACUGACGCUGAGCACGAAGUAGUGGUAGUACAACAGAGUAGUAUACCUACGUAGUACUACACUACGUAACGUAUAGAUAACUAACUAGUUGUCGUUCGGUUCGUAGUGUACGUAGAGAAGUAGUUAAGUUAAGUUACUACCGUACGGUAGGUAACGGUCCGGCGACGGUUAGUAACGUUACGAAGAAGUUAGACGGCGNGAGAGNGCGACGGACGACGACGAGGGAGGAGG
Molecule: ribosomal RNA, 633 nt
Filed under: uncultured bacterium
Lineage: Bacteria
Description: bacterial SSU rRNA
Rfam family: Bacterial small subunit ribosomal RNA (bases 1-543)
Source: RNAcentral